This 378-nucleotide unclassified non-coding RNA is filed under the name plant metagenome. Its description in RNAcentral is "partial contains 5.8S ribosomal RNA, internal transcribed spacer 2, and large subunit ribosomal RNA". The stretch from base 1 to 105 matches the Rfam family "5.8S ribosomal RNA", at positions 50 to 154 of the family's 154-position model. The record is from RNAcentral.
GAAAUGCGAUAAGUAAUGUGAAUUGCAGAAUUAAGUGAAGCAUCGAAUCUUUGAACGCACCUUGCGCUCCUUGGUAUUCCUUGGAGCAUGCCUGUUUGAGUAUCAUGAAAUCUUCAAAGUAAAUCUUUUGUUAACUCAAUUGGUUUCUACUUUGGUAUUGGAGGUCUUUGCAGCUUCACACCUGCUCCUCUUUGUUCAUUAGCUGGAUCUCAGUGUUAUGCUUGGUUCCACUCGGCGUGAUAAGUUAUCUAUCGCUGAGGACACUGUAAAAGGUGGCCAAGGUAAAUGCAGAUGAACCGCUUCUAAUAGUCCAUUGACUUGGACAAUACUUUUAUGAUCUGAUCUCACAUCAGGUAGGACUACCCGCUGAACUUAAGC